GGGGAAUAACAGCCGGAAACGGCUGCUAAUACCGCAUGAUGUAUCUGGAUCGCAUGGUUCUGGAUACCAAAGAUUUAUCGCUCUGAGAUGGACUCGCGUCUGAUUAGCUAGUUGGUGAGGUAACGGCUCACCAAGGCGACGAUCAGUAGCCGGACUGAGAGGUUGGCCGGCCACAUUGGGACUGAGACACGGCCCAGACU
RNAcentral lists this ribosomal RNA (200 nucleotides) under Intestinimonas butyriciproducens. Its description in RNAcentral is "partial 16S ribosomal RNA". It matches the Rfam family "Bacterial small subunit ribosomal RNA", at positions 138 to 337 of the family's 1533-position model. The record is from RNAcentral. Lineage: Bacteria; Bacillati; Bacillota; Clostridia; Eubacteriales.